Molecule: ribosomal RNA, 418 nt
Filed under: uncultured bacterium
Lineage: Bacteria
Description: bacterial SSU rRNA
Rfam family: Bacterial small subunit ribosomal RNA
Source: RNAcentral
UGGGGAAUAUUGGGCAAUGGGCGAAAGCCUGACCCAGCAACGCCGCGUGAGGGAAGAAGGUUUUCGGAUUGUAAACCUCUGUCCUAAGUGACGAAGGAAGUGACGGUAGCUUAGGAGGAAGCCCGCGUACAUACGUGCCAGCAGCCGCGGUAAUACGUAGGGGCGGAGCGUGUUCCGGCAAGAUGACUGGGCGUAAAGGGCGUGUAGGCGGUUUUUAAGUCUGGAGUGAAAGUCCUGCUUUCAAGGUGGGAAUUGCUUUGGAUACUGGAGAACUUGAGUGCGGAAGAGGUAAGUGGAAUUCCCAGUGUAGCGGUGAAAUGCGUAGAGAUUGGGAGGAACACCAGUGGCGAAGGCGACUUACUGGGCCGUAACUGACGCUGAGGCGCGAAAGCGUGGGGAGCGAACAGGAUUAGAUACC